This 305-nucleotide ribosomal RNA is filed under the name uncultured bacterium. RNAcentral describes it as "bacterial SSU rRNA". It matches the Rfam family "Bacterial small subunit ribosomal RNA", at positions 337 to 659 of the family's 1533-position model. The record is from RNAcentral.
GCCUACGGGGCGCAGCAGUGAGGGAUAUUGGUCAAUGGGGGGAACCCUGAACCAGCAACGCCGCGUGAGGGAAGACGGUUUUCGGAUUGUAAACCUCUGUCCUCUGUGAAGAUAAUGACGGUAGCAGAGGAGGAAGCUCCGGCUAACUACGUGCCAGCAGCCGCGGUAAUACGUAGGGGGCAAGCGUUAUCCGGAUUUACUGGGUGUAAAGGGGGCGCAGACGGCGAUGCAAGCCAGGAGUGAAAGCCCGGGGCCCAACCCCGGGACUGCUCUUGGAACUGCGUGGCUGGAGUGCAGGAGGGGCG